Molecule: microRNA precursor, 92 nt
Filed under: Echinops telfairi (small Madagascar hedgehog)
Lineage: Eukaryota; Metazoa; Chordata; Mammalia; Afrosoricida; Tenrecidae
Description: miRNA (ENSETEG00000023763.1)
Source: RNAcentral
GUGUGUGUGUGUGUGUGUGUGUGUGUGUGUGUGUGUGUGUGUGUUCCAGGACCUUCCUCAUGAGGAGGUCACACCCACACCCACCCACAAGG